GCCAGUUUGUUUCCAGCGCCGCCACUCCUAUUCUUGAGCCGCUCCUUCCAUUUUCCCCUGUUCCAGCAGCAGCGCCGCCACCCUUCCUGCAUCGCUGCUCAGAUCAUCUCCGCUGGCCGCCCUUCCUGCUCGCUUGUUCCUAGCGACCGUGCCAUCGCCGGUCAGUCCUCCCCUUCCAAGUGUUGGUCUGCUGGUCAAGCAAGGGAGGGGAACGGGAGGAAUUAGAGAAGAAGCAAGGGUUCCAUCAGGUUUGCAGAGUUCUAGUAGCGAGCGCGUGGCGUCGGGUUAUCACCAUGGUUAAGGCAAGUGCAUGAUGAACUUGUUUGUUGGCAAGUUGCUUUGUCCGAUGUUUAUGAUAUUCAAGUCCAUGAUUUGUUCAUAUUUCAUGAUUCAAGUUUCGAGUUAUUCCUUUAAAUUCCAUUCAUGUUUCGGUGGAUUCGGAUGUGCAAUUUGGUUCUUUUAUUCAUGUUCCUGUGAGUAAGUGCUGGCCCCACUUGCUCGGCUUUACCGGUAAAUGCUAAGGAUGUUUCAAGUUGUGUCCGUUUUAGACGGAAACUACUUUUUCACUAGUUUCAUUCAUUCGUGUCUCCUGGAAUGUUGUUGCUAUGUUCUUUCCAGUUCUAAUUGUGCUUGCUGAGUAUUAUUACUCACACUUGUGUUUAUUUGGUUUUUUAGGAACCAAAUGCGUGUGGCAUGCAUGGGAAGUGGGAGUAGCAUAUUCUGCAAGAACACACAUUUUCUUUUAGACAUGCUUAGUCUAUCUUCAUUAAUUCUUAGAGCUGUUGGGACGUCUUAUGGUUGGUUGGGAUAACUUAUUUUGCUGUUGGGAUUGGAUGUGAUGUUUAUUCUUCAUUCGUAUGUUAAUUCGAUAUCUUGUGUUAUAAACUGCUUGUCCGGUACGUCCUAUUUAUAGGGGAAACUUUGCCGAAAUUUUGUAUUA
Molecule: long non-coding RNA, 940 nt
Organism: Panicum virgatum (switchgrass)
Lineage: Eukaryota; Viridiplantae; Streptophyta; Magnoliopsida; Poales; Poaceae
Exons: 2
Source: RefSeq, a predicted model, not a curated record